RNAcentral lists this ribosomal RNA (253 nucleotides) under uncultured bacterium. RNAcentral's name for it is "partial 16S ribosomal RNA". It matches the Rfam family "Bacterial small subunit ribosomal RNA", at positions 524 to 776 of the family's 1533-position model. The record is from RNAcentral.
UACGGGGGGGGCAAGCGUUGUUCGGAAUUACUGGGCGUAAAGGGCUCGUAGGCGGCCAACUAAGUCGGACGUGAAAUCCCUCGGCUUAACCGGGGAACUGCGUCUGAUACUGGAUGGCUUGAGGUUGGGAGAGGGAUGCGGAAUUCCCAGUGUAGCGGUGAAAUGCGUAGAUAUUGGGAGGAACAUCAGUAGCGAAGGCGACUUUCUGGGUCACACCUGACGCUGAGGUACGAAAGCGUGGGGAGCAAACGGG